UCACAUAUUAAAACCCCAUCAACCCCUUAUCACCUUUUCUUGAUUCCAAAUUUUCGAUCACAAAAGCAACAAACAUCAUAUCUAGUUAUUAACAAUGGCCACUGUCACCUCUGCUGCUGUUGCUAUCCCAUCUUUCACUGGCCUCAAGGCUUGUGCUUCCUCAUCUUCCAGAGUUAGCACUGCCUCAGCCAAGGUGGCGACCACCCCGGUCGCCAGAUUGGCCGUUAAGGCGUCUUUGAAAGACGUUGGUGCUGUCGUU
This 259-nucleotide long non-coding RNA is filed under the name Capsicum annuum. Its description in RNAcentral is "long non-coding RNA (CANN_LNC006025)". The record is from RNAcentral. Lineage: Eukaryota; Viridiplantae; Streptophyta; Magnoliopsida; Solanales; Solanaceae.